RNAcentral lists this long non-coding RNA (1812 nucleotides) under Homo sapiens (human). RNAcentral describes it as "HSALNT0034441". The record is from RNAcentral. Lineage: Eukaryota; Metazoa; Chordata; Mammalia; Primates; Hominidae.
GAUGGAGGCUCUCUCUCUGUGCAACUGGGGGUGUGGUGAUGCAAAUAUCCUUCUGGCCACCGCCACUGGGGCCGUGCUGGGUCAGACCUGAAGGCAGCACAGCACUGGAUUUCACCUGAGGCCCUCUAUAAUCACUACCCGGCUGCCACCUAUGUUCACUCAAGACCCUAUGUUCAUUCAACGGCUCUAUAAUCAGCAGAUGGCAAAUCCAGCCAGGUUCAUGUGCUUCCCUUCAGGAUGAAUGCCCUCCUUCAAGGCAGAGUGUAUGUGUGUAAAAGGCAAUUCUGUUCAAUCGUCCAAGGUGACAAUCCAGCUGCCUGAUUCUUGAAGCCACUUGAUUUUGGCAGGAGUGUGUGACUCCACCUCAACCCACUCCCCUUCCAAGAAAUAAAAAUAACUCCACUGUGCUUGGGCUGUCACCAGUUCACCAGACUCCAGGGAAGCUCCUGUCUGUGAUGUCGCAUUCAUUUCUGAAUGCUGGCAUUGUACUUUGAAAUUCCCAAACAAAAUGCACAGAGAAACACCAGGUGAAUAACAAUGAAACCAGCAGCAUUUAUUUUUGUGCGUGGCAGUCUCAGCUACAUUUUUGUAAAAGACCUUUUUGCCAAAAUUAGUUUAGGUUUCAAGUCACGUUUCACCCUCAGUCAAAUAUAAAGGUCACUCAGUGAACAAAGGGGAGAUUGUGUAUUCUUGGUGAUCACAGAUGAAGCUGGAAAGGCAGCCUCUUUCAAACAAAAUGAGGUAGUUAAGUGGAAAAUGAAGGCGGCGAAUUCUAUAGAGCAGCGCUCAACAACAAGGGAUGCUGGCGUUUUUUUUCUUGACAUAAACACAAUAACACAUAGAGAAAAGCCUAACAGAGAGGAGAGUGACCCAGGUGCUGUAUAAACAGAUUUUCAGACAGGCAGUUGGAGCCCCGUGGUAUGUUUAGUUUCUCCCACUCCCUGCUACUUUAUCCUUUGUCAGAUUCAAUACAGCCUUCAAGGGCACUGGAGGCAGAAGAAAGAGAAAAAUGCCUGGGGAAGGGAAAAGGGGAGGGGGAGAAAACAGUCUCCUCUCCUAGCCUUUGUUAAAGAAUAAAAGCGCAAAACGUGUAAAAAUCAUUUACUCUCUACCCGACAGUGCCAACAUGUUUGACACUGGUUUGCUAGAGCUUAUAGAGAAACUCUGUUGACAUUUUAUUCACAUAAGAGUUUUGAAUUAUAUAAGGCUUUUUGAGAUGCGCUGUUGGAUAUAAUCUGAAUAGUCAAGCUUAGGGGGGGAGAAAAACCACAUAACACCCAGUAACUCUUAAAUGUUUAUAUAAAUCCCAAAGUGGAAAGAAAGGAUAAAAUGGUAAGAACAAAAAUAUUUGCUUAUUCUUAGACAGCAACCUAAUACACCUGUGUCAAAAAUAAAAAUUACACUUUGAAAAGGACAUGCAAAUGCCCAACUUUUUCCCAGAGCUUCUCUCUUAUCCUUUAGGUAAGGGAACUUAGGACUUAAAUAUAAUAAGCAAACACAGCGGGAUUCAAGAGAUUCUGUCCUUCUGCAGGUGAUACAUUUUGAUACUUUAUUUUCUUUUGACAAAUGCACAUAUAUUUUUAAUUAAGUACAUCUAUUCAUUGCAGUGAAAUUAGAACGUACAGAUAAAGAAAAAACAAACACGUCUAACCUUACUUUUCAGAUAAUCAUAGUUAAAAUUUUUCUAUAUUUUAAAUACUUUUUCUAUGUGCAUACAAUAUGCAUAAUACAUACAUACACAUACUAUAAAAUUAAAAUAUUCAGUUUAUGUUGUUUUGCAAUCUGUUCAAUAAAAUAUGUUGUAUACUCAUU